Molecule: long non-coding RNA, 279 nt
Organism: Gossypium raimondii (Peruvian cotton)
Lineage: Eukaryota; Viridiplantae; Streptophyta; Magnoliopsida; Malvales; Malvaceae
Exons: 3
Source: RefSeq, a predicted model, not a curated record
GCGUUUGGUUUGCUGUUUUCCCAUUCCGCGCCGAAUCGGUUACUCCCCCAUUACAUUGAUUGCGCGUAAUAGGCAUUACGCCCCCUCAGCGCCGAUUACCCAUUCCGCGUCUUUCCCUUUUUUCUCUUCCGUUUUCUGCCCUCGUCCUCAACGUUCUAAUUCUCCCACGCUUCCUUGCACAGGGUGAAGUUUUGAGACCCUUAUCAGAAAUUGAUGAUCUUUCCAGUACAUUUUCAAAGUUGAACACAACCAUCAAUGGACCAAGAUGGUCAGGGAUUG